GAGACCUCAGGUCAGGCGGGGCUACCCGCUGAGUUUUAGCAUAUCAAUAAGCGGAGGAAAAG
RNAcentral lists this ribosomal RNA (62 nucleotides) under Lespedeza thunbergii subsp. formosa. RNAcentral describes it as "partial 26S ribosomal RNA". It matches the Rfam family "Eukaryotic large subunit ribosomal RNA", at positions 1 to 61 of the family's 3401-position model. Lineage: Eukaryota; Viridiplantae; Streptophyta; Magnoliopsida; Fabales; Fabaceae. The record is from RNAcentral.